This 193-nucleotide ribosomal RNA is filed under the name uncultured bacterium. Its description in RNAcentral is "partial 16S ribosomal RNA". It matches the Rfam family "Bacterial small subunit ribosomal RNA", at positions 338 to 523 of the family's 1533-position model. The record is from RNAcentral.
CCUACGGGAGGCAGCAGUGGGGAAUUUUGGACAAUGGGCGCAAGCCUGAUCCAGCCAUGCCGCGUGCAGGAUGAAGGCCUUCGGGUUGUAAACUGCUUUUGUACGGAACGAAAAGACUCUGGUUAAUACCUGGGGUCCAUGACGGUACCGUAAGAAUAAGCACCGGCUAACUACGUGCCAGCAGCCGCGGUAA